UUGAUAGAGGGCAUUUUAGAAUUACAGUCUAAUUUAUGAAGAUGUGAUAGGUAAAGCAAAUUUUUUAACUGGUUUCUUGUUGCCUUUGGGGUUAUUUCUGCAGACUGCUCAUAUUUGAUAACAUAGAGAAUGGAAGCUUAAAAAAGCAUCUCAAUGAUCCCUUGAAGACUCCCUUAAAUUGGAGGACGAGGUUGCAGAUUGCUAAUGAAGUUGUAGUAGCACUGGAAUACUUGUUUCUUUUUAGUGAUCCACCGGCAUAUCAUGUCUCUAUCAGCUCAAGCAAUAUUAUGUUAGAUGAGAACUUUGCAGCUAAAGUAAGGAAACAUUUCUUUUCUCACUAGAACUAUCAUAUUCUAUAUUUGAUUGACAUGCCAGAAGUAAAUAAAGCACUUCAAUGUUAAAAUAGUGU
This is a non-coding RNA of Arachis ipaensis, 409 nucleotides long. Lineage: Eukaryota; Viridiplantae; Streptophyta; Magnoliopsida; Fabales; Fabaceae. The record is from RefSeq and is a predicted model, not a curated record.